GAGUCACUGCCUAAAACCUUGUUCCCCAUCUCGUUUCUCUGCAACCCGAGGGCUAAGAGGAGAGAGCAGAGAUGAUAAGUAUUCCUUAAACCCUAGUUGGCAAUGGUGACGAUUGAAGUCGACCUCCAUUAAUGGUGUUAAGCUGUACCAUGUUUCAUCGGCGCCGAAUUUUGAGACUUGGCUUAAUCCCAAGAAGCAACUAGCACUCCGUAAAAUCCCCAGGCUUCCAAAUCGACAGGGAAUCAACUUAUUGCUGUUUCUUCAGAGAAGCAACGGUCUUUGUUGGAAGAACACUUCGAAUCCGUAAUGGAGGAUAGCGAAAACAACGAUUCCGACCCAUCGGCUUGAAUGCGUCGGAAUCUUCAGACGAGGGAUCCAAGAACGAGAGAAGAAAUCAAAAGCUCCGAAGCUUGCUCGAAUCAAAGGACAAACGGCACACAGAAGCGUUCUGCAACCAGGUCUCGCUCGCUAAAGAAGACGCUCUCUUCCUCUGGGAGAGUGAGUCAAGGCUCUUGAAGAAAGCCGGAGCAACGUCUCCGGGUCCCCAAGAGACGUGGAACUCAGCCCGGGAGAUUUCUUUCAGGGCAAGAAGCUCGGCCAAGUACAAGGACGAGGAGGAAGGAUAUGGAAACAAGAGGAGAGGAGUGCGGUCUCUUGGUCUGAAGCUAGUUAGAAUCCUCGGCGGUUUCAGAGGGAGAGGCAACCGCCGUGGAGCGGCGGAGGCCGGCGAUGAUUAUAUGUACCGUUGUUGUUUUGUGAUAUUCUUGUCGCCAUUUUGAAAUUUUGGAAUUAUGAAGAUUUAGAUCCAUGCCUGAUAUGAUAA
Tarenaya hassleriana is the source of this 823-nucleotide long non-coding RNA. RefSeq lists it as uncharacterized. NCBI's taxonomy places the organism in Eukaryota, Viridiplantae, Streptophyta, Magnoliopsida, Brassicales, Cleomaceae. The transcript has 3 exons. The record is from RefSeq and is a predicted model, not a curated record.